AUGUAUUUUUGUAUCUCGAUCAGUGUUAGGGCUUUUCUAUUAACAUUUAGCCUGGGAAAGCUUAUUCCAAUUCUAAAAAUCCCUGAAAACCAAAUACCAAAGUCCAAUAUGAUCGAUCUGGCUCUUCAAGCCUGUCAGCAUACAAGAAACUUAUCGCAGCAAGAGAUUUUCCAUGUAGUUAACCUGGUUCCUGAACUUUCGGCCGAUAUCUUCCUUCAAAAUCUGCAUAAAAAGAGUAUUUCAACGUACCUCAUUACCAAUCCUGGACAAAUUGUAAACCAACAUACACGUAAUUACAAUUCGAAAAAUAUGAUUUUUUUCGUGAACGAUUUCCGUGACAUAUUCAACUUGAUUUUGAAGCCCUCGAGCGGAGAGACCGAGGUUGGAACUCCUCACGGAUCAUUCUUCGAUGACCCUUCCUAUUACUUCAACCAAAGUGACGAUGAACCAAGGGGACUUGCAUUCGAGCAAAAAUAUUCAGAUGCUUUCGGAGGCUGCGAUUUAAAGAUUGAAGAGGAUGCUGUUGAUGUUCCAAUAUCCACGGACUCAUCAACUUCAUCAAAAUCGUUCAUUUUACAUAUUGGAAUGUCAGAAUUGGAGAGAGGCUCCGUUUUAUCAGACCAAGUUUUUUAUUUCACUCGCCACCUCUAUAAUCACACGAUUUGGAACUACCAAAAUCACUUGAUCUUCGUUCUUCCGAGAUUGAGCAAAUCUUUAAAAUCUGCAAAUCGUGAAGUAUUGAACGUGACAAACAUUAACCUGAGGCGGUUCACCAGCACUGCAAUAUUAGUCUGUUUUAAAGCAUUUUGGCGAUUCUUUAGAGGGUUGAGAGUUGUCAUCUGCUUAGAAGAAGUGUGCUACCGCUAUGAUCCUUACUUAGAGAGGAUCCUUCAUUACGAGGGUUGCAGAGAAGAAGAUUACUUCGAUUUUUCCGUUAAAAAUCUGUAUGGCAAGUCUUUGGCUGUCGCAUAUAGCCAUGAUGAUGCCGACGAGCAUAUAAGCUUGAUAAACACCGGUGCAUGGACAAGUUACACGGAUUAUGCUUUGGAGGAGAUAAAAAACGGUAUGAACUGCUCUUUUGAUUCAUUCAUGAGGCCGCCAGAAGUAGAACAUCCACUGGAUACCGAAGUAGGUCAGAAAUAUGAUAUAGACAUUAUUAUAUUCAAUGGUGGGGCGGAUUACAAAGAUUCUGGUUAUUCAAAAUUCGACCGCACAGUGGGUGUUGAAACUUGUGUAUUGUGCUUCGUUGCACCUCGACAAGGGUUCAUGCCCUCCUACCUAGUCGUCUUCAGAAGUUUUUCAACACCCUUGUGGGUUAUUUUCCUGGUGACGGUAGCUACAUUUGUCUUCAUGCAGCGGGUUUUCCAGUAUUUUCAAUCGAACGUGUUUAGUGAGUUCUACACCGAGCGAAAUAGAUGCACGUAUGAGAGCACCUCUGCACUUCUAGUCAUUUACAGCUAUUUCCUUUGUGGAAGUCCUCCACGACUUCUUCUUGGGAAACUCUCCACGGGUAAAAUCCUCUUCUUGAUAUUUUCGUUUUCAGCAUUGAUCAUUGGGACAGUGUACCAGAGUCAAAUGGUCACACUCUUAAGCAAUCGCGUUCGGUUCAAAGACAUUGAUACGGUUGAGGAGUUAAGAGAGUCUAACUUGUAUAUUCAGACCCCAGAUAUCGACAUGCUCGCCACAUAUUUUGGUCAACAUCCUGAGUAUACAGGAUUGGAGGAGAAACUGACCACCAGCUUUUGGUCCAUAUAUGAUGCAUUUAUAAGCCAGAACGAUAGGAAAUGA
Molecule: long non-coding RNA, 1788 nt
Filed under: Bemisia tabaci
Lineage: Eukaryota; Metazoa; Arthropoda; Insecta; Hemiptera; Aleyrodidae
Description: lncRNA ENSSSA1NGG009158
Source: RNAcentral